Molecule: ribosomal RNA, 468 nt
Filed under: uncultured bacterium
Lineage: Bacteria
Description: partial 16S ribosomal RNA
Rfam family: Bacterial small subunit ribosomal RNA
Source: RNAcentral
GACGAACGCUGGCGGCGUGCUUAACACAUGCAAGUCGAACGGAAAGGCCCUGCUUUUGUGGGGUGCUCGAGUGGCGAACGGGUGAGUAACACGUGAGUAACCUGCCCUUGACUUUGGGAUAACUUCGGGAAACUGGGGCUAAUACCGGAUAGGAGCCCCUGCUGCAUGGUGGGGGUUGGAAAGUUUCGGCGGUUGGGGAUGGACUCGCGGCUUAUCAGCUUGUUGGUGGGGUAGUGGCUUACCAAGGCUUUGACGGGUAGCCGGCCUGAGAGGGUGACCGGCCACAUUGGGACUGAGAUACGGCCCAGACUCCUACGGGAGGCAGCAGUGGGGAAUAUUGCACAAUGGGCGGAAGCCUGAUGCAGCAACGCCGCGUGCGGGAUGACGGCCUUCGGGUUGUAAACCGCUUUCGCCUGUGACGAAGCGUGAGUGACGGUAAUGGGUAAAGAAGCACCGGCUAACUACGUG